This is a long non-coding RNA of Equus caballus (horse), 3708 nucleotides long. NCBI's taxonomy places the organism in Eukaryota, Metazoa, Chordata, Mammalia, Perissodactyla, Equidae. The record is from Ensembl.
UACCUCACUCCUCAGUUCUUGCCCUCGGAGCCACCUGGGAUCUUUUCCGUCCUUCUUUUGCCUUUGGCCACCCAGGCAGAAUAAUUUGGCUCCAGGCUCAGUUUGUGCUUGCGUUGAUUUUAGUUUUGGGCCACCUGGACUUGGCAACCUGCCUAUAGGGAGGCUAUCGCAGAGCCACUUGACCGAGCAGGUCCUACCCAUAAGGCCAUGCGAAAGCACUCAGAGUGCCUGAAACCCAAAUCAGUCCCAAAUGGCCAGUUUCUGACCCACAUGGAACCUACCUGGUGGCCAGAAAUGACUCUGGGGCUAGCUGAUCUGGUCCUCAGGUGCUGGCCACGCAUUGGGCAGAGACGGUCUUGUGGCAGUCACUCAGUAACCACAACUCAGGGCUUGACGGUGACUGCCAGUGCUGAACCCUGUCCGGGGGCAGCAAAGCUGGACUGGUGAGAUGUGUCCUGAUGGUUCUCACUUUAGAAAUGGAUUAGAUUGGGGCUUGCUUUGUUUUCUCUCCAGUAGCUGAGGUUCCGAGACUCCCAUCUCCUAGCACUUAACAUUCCUGCCCCGGCAGCGCUACUGCUGUAUAUCGCUUACACUCCCUGCUGACAUUUUAUGGGGGGUUUAAAGCAGCAGGUGUGUGAGAUAGAAGCCGUUGUCAAUCAUUGUGUUAAAAAGGCUCCACCUUUUCAAAUGCCUAAUCAGCCCUUGAUGGGUUGCAGCUGACUGCUAACCAGCCAGCCUUUGAAGCUUUCAAGGCAAACAGCACUGCCCCACUUUGAGAAGCAGUGGGGGACGCUAGAGAAAGGGGCAGCAGAGAAGCCCAGUCAAGGCCACGGCACCACCCUCUCAUGUGAAAGGGGUGGGGAUGCUGAUUGACCGGAGGAAGUCAGCGUGACAUGCGUGGCCUUGCCUCCAGACUGUUGCCGUUCAAGUGGAGCUCAUCACCUGGAAGCCUCUGUUCAAGGGAAAGCAGCCCUAUUUAGGACUGGAUUUCCUCCUUAGAUAACCCAAGGGAGUCCCCUCUGAGAUUCUGGGCUCCUCCGUGGGGUGUAUUAAAUGGAAGAGGGGUAACUCACCCACUUCAUAUGAGGGUCCAGCUAGGCUGCGGGAUUGCUUGUAUCUUUGCCUGCUGACUCAGCUGAGUUCCUGAGGCUCUGUCAGCCACCCUCUCCUCUUUUUCUCUUGCAAAGCUUUUGGGGACAGUCCCAUAAGCAAUGCUGCGGCAGAAAGUGCUCGGCCCUUUAUCGACUGCCAUAGCCCACCCAACACUCGCUUUUUAAUUUCAACAACUUACAUAGUCUUUCUCUUCUAUAAAAAACUCUCAAAUGCACUUUAAAUGUCCCCUUUUGAUCCAGGCUGCAGUCCCAGACUCCCUCUUUAUGAAUAUCACCACUGCACCAAAAUCAGGCUACCACGCCUCCAAGUCACACUGAGGAGCACUGGGGGGGUGUGGCUUUGGGCCCUUGUAACAGUCAUAGUCUUUUUGCAGGCACUUCGUGGAGACCCACUGAAUGAAUCGGAGUCCCUGUCAACCCUGGGGUGGGAUUUGCCUCAGACAUUGGCUCCCCGUUCUCUCCCUUCUUGGACUUCCUGUCUUCUUCUGUUGACUUUCUCUGGACCUCAGUUUGUCCAUUCAGCAUUUUCUGUGAAGGUUCCUUGCUGACCUCCCUAUGACCCCAGCAUCUGACCUCAAGUGUACACCCCAUUCACAUCUUUGAUUGCGCUCUAACGGCUCAGGGGAGCUUUGUUUAUAAAUCUUUUAUCCUCAGUUAAUGGCCUCUGGAAGGUCUGGAAUGUCUUUCAGCUAUACUUUACUGUAGAAACUCAAAUUGAAAGGGAAUUGUUAAUCUCUCCAUUAUCGGUCCUCAGACCUCUAUUAUAGCAUUAUCAUGUAGGAUCCACCUUCAGAGAGCUCGCAGUCUGGUAUGAGAGCAAGACAAGUAAAUUUACCUUAAGGAAAUAUAUAAAAAAUACCACAAUGGGAGGGGGCGGUGUGUGCAAAGGACAAAAUGGAAGGGACAGCCAAGACAAAAAGCUCCAGAAUAUUAUGGGUUAGGAAGAGGUUAAUUCCCACAGGGGAUCCAAGAGACCUUGCUUAGAACAGGUGAUAUUGACAGAAUGCUAUGAAGACUAGUAGAGGUUCCACCGGCAAAGAACCACUGCUGAAAAGACAGGUGGAAGCUUAGCUCCAGAGGACUUUGUAAGCGACCUUGCUGUUGGAAGGAUGGGUUGAAAGAAGACGACUCCACAGGACACAGAACUGCAAUCUUUCCCCCACAGUCUGUUCCAACCCACUGUGUUUGGCUACUUCUCUACGCAUUGGGGGAAACCUAAGGCAGUCCUCUUGGACCCUUCUGCUCCCACUUUUUCAUGUCAGUAAUGACAAAACCCAACCCCAUGUCAUAGUCAAAAAUUCCAAAUUUCAUUGAAAGCAAACCCUGUUUCCUUUUGCAGAUUUGAGUGGUUAGCAUCUUAUCUACGUCUGGUCUCCUACUUGCCUGUUUCUCCCCAGCUUGCUAGCCUGGGCGUGGGGAGGUGUGGGCAGUCACAAGAGGGAGGAGUGAGAAGAAGGGUCUUCCUAGAUUGUGCUGUUGUGAUCUUCUGCGGGUGCCCUCGGGGACUGGUAAACGUUCAAAGCUGAUGUUUUCCUCCAAUGGGCUGCUUUUGUGGACCUUCUGUGAUAGCCAUCUGGGAGCAUUUGUCUACAACUCUCUUAAUAAGAAGUAUUAGUUAUCUAUAACCACAAAGGUAUAUGUAAAAUACCCUAAAACUUAGCAGCUUAAAACAAUAAAUAUUUAUCUCACAUGGUUCCUGUGCUCAGGAAUCCAGGAUCGGCUUAGCUGGUGGUCUGACUCAGGGUCUCAGGAGACUGCAGUCAAGCUGUUGGCCAGGCAGCUGUCUUCUGACGGUUGACCAGGGCUGAAAGAUGUUUCCAAAAUUGCCUAAUUCAAAUGGCUGUUGGCCCGAGGCCUUAGUUCCUGGCUAUGCGACUCUCCCCUUAGAGCCGCUCCAGUGUUCUCAUGACACAGCUCCUGGUUGCUUAAAACAUCCUCCUCCAAACCCAGGAUGAAGUCCCUGUGGGUGAGUUCCUUUUAAAAACAAUCCUCAAUCUGGUCACUCCAAAAGAAGGCCAACCUAGUUUUAUGACAAGAGGGAAAUACAGUGUGUUCCCCAAGUAGCCACUUCUCUGUGCUCCACCAGUAGGCAAAUGGCAAAACCUCCUGUCCUUAAGACUUCUCAGAUGUAGGUCAGACACAAGGUCCGGGAACAGAGACAUGUUUCUCAGGUGGACUCUGUGUCCCUCCUCGCUGGUCUCGGGAUGAGGAAAUAUCCACGGAGGAGGCAGAACAGGCAGAAUGCCACAGCAUUAUAGAGACUUUCUUUUCAGUCCAGUCCACACCUCGAAGGGAUGGAAACAGUUGACGCUGAACAGGACGAGAGUCACAAAACCCCCUUAGAUCACCCCCUUGGCAAGCCCUGCGUCAAGUCUUUGCCACCCGUUUUGUACCCAGCUGUUGAAAGCUUCAUCCAAAACGGAGAGGACCUCUUCCAUUUUAAGAUAUUGUUAUACCAGGCUGGGGAUUUCAGCAAAGCAAGCGUCAGCCCAGCUCUGCAUUUCAAAAGCCAUUUGUCUUCAGUUUCCCCAAGAAGCAGACCCUAAGACAAGGACUUGACUGCAAUUGGGUUAUUUGGGAGGCAAUACCAGGAAAC